RNAcentral lists this long non-coding RNA (588 nucleotides) under Ursus maritimus (polar bear). RNAcentral's name for it is "lncRNA (ENSUMAG00000019464.1)". Lineage: Eukaryota; Metazoa; Chordata; Mammalia; Carnivora; Ursidae. The record is from RNAcentral.
UAGGACUAAUCUGAGGGGCUUGUGAGCCUACCUCAUCGGGGACGGCGUGGCAGCGCCCGAUGGACAGGCCUGAGCCCUGAGCACCUGCAGCCCAUGGAGGGAGGACUCCAGAACAUGACUCAUCCUGGCGCAUCCCCAAGGAGGCAGGACCCAUCGUGGCCUUCAGGAGACCCUCCAGGACCGCAUAGCCCAGGACUCUCGCCUUCUUCCUGCCUCCUCGUCCUGCAGGCGACCCCUGAAAGUCACGUGAUUCUGCCUUCCUCAGGUCAGUGCUGCAUUUUGAACCUUGAAAGUCAGGGCUCCCCCUUCCCCCAGACACCCCCCAGGCCUGGGCACGUCUGAAGUGGGACACGCGUGUAUGCAGGCACACACAUGCACGCACACCCACACAGCUUGUGGAGGACUGAGGAGCAGGGCAGGCUCAGCUGGGUCUGCUCAGGCCUCGGACCUGACCUGCCACCAGCCUCUUUCUAUAGCCAAGGGACCAAGGUCUGCCAGGAGUCAGGGGCUUGCCCAGGACUCUUGCCCCAGGAAGCUGGACUUGGGCCCGUCUUUCCGGCUCCCUUCUGCACAGAAGUUGAGUGCAGC